Molecule: non-coding RNA, 412 nt
Organism: Podarcis lilfordi (Lilford's wall lizard)
Lineage: Eukaryota; Metazoa; Chordata; Lepidosauria; Squamata; Lacertidae
Source: the annotation of a GenBank genome assembly
UGAGGUCAUUGGGAGAAUCAAAAUGGCUUCAGGAUUGCUCUUCCGUACUAUUUCAGACACAUUUAGAGAUGUGUGCAUUUAUGAACAUUUAUUCUAUAUUUGAGACCUUAGAAUUCCUACAACACUAGGUCCUGUAAGUGGCGUAAAUGCACACUAAAUCCUUCAUGAGGGUCAAUCAGAGGGCAAGCCUGGUGUCAGCAGCCAUAAUUCCACCUCCAAACUCCUUCAUAGGCUAAAUACUGGCAUGAGGCCAAUAGUCAACAAGUACCGUAAGAGGAAAUCGAAAAGAACUUUGAAGAGAGAAUUCAAGAGGGCAUGAAACCAUUAAGAUGAAAAUGCACGGGCAUAAAAUUCACAGUGGGCAUGGCUGGCUGACUCUGACCAAUGGAUGCCUGCCCUACCCUCAUGAAGG